UGAGGAAUAUUGGUCAAUGGGCGAGAGCCUGAACCAGCCAAGUAGCGUGCAGGUCGACGGCCCUAUGGGUUGUAAACUGCUUUUAUGUGGGGAUAAAGUGCGUGACGUGUCAUGCAUUGCAGGUACCACAUGAAUAAGGACCGGCUAAUUCCGUGCCAGCAGCCGCGGUAAUACGGAAGGUCCGGGCGUUAUCCGGAUUUAUUGGGUUUAAAGGGAGCGUAGGCUGUCUAUUAAGCGUGUUGUGAAAUUUACCGGCUCAACCGGUGGCUUGCAGCGCGAACUGGUCGACUUGAGUAUGCAGGAAGUAGGCGGAAUUCAUGGUGUAGCGGUGAAAUGCUUAGAUAUCAUGACGAACUCCGAUUGCGCAGGCAGCUUACUGUAGCAUAACUGACGCUGAUGCUCGAAAGUGCGGGUAUCAAACAGG
RNAcentral lists this ribosomal RNA (424 nucleotides) under Verrucomicrobiota bacterium. RNAcentral's name for it is "Verrucomicrobia bacterium partial 16S ribosomal RNA". It matches the Rfam family "Bacterial small subunit ribosomal RNA", at positions 355 to 776 of the family's 1533-position model. Lineage: Bacteria; Pseudomonadati; Verrucomicrobiota. The record is from RNAcentral.